Molecule: transfer RNA, 68 nt
Filed under: Amitermes sp. QLD_096
Lineage: Eukaryota; Metazoa; Arthropoda; Insecta; Blattodea; Termitidae
Description: tRNA-Trp
Source: RNAcentral
AAGGCCUUAAGUUAAAGACAAACUAAUAACCUUCAAAGCUAUAAAUAAAGGGCUCCCUUUAGGCCUUG